RNAcentral lists this small RNA (125 nucleotides) under Marmota monax (woodchuck). The record is from RNAcentral. Lineage: Eukaryota; Metazoa; Chordata; Mammalia; Rodentia; Sciuridae.
GCUGGGCACAGUGGUGCACGUCUAUAAUCCCAGCGGCUCGGGAGGCUGAGGCAGGAGGAUCAUGAGUUUAAAGCCAGCCUCAGCAAAGAUGAGGUGUUAAGCAACUCAGUGAGACCCUGUCUCUA